RNAcentral lists this small RNA (298 nucleotides) under Arabidopsis thaliana (thale cress). Its description in RNAcentral is "ATSL083530". The record is from RNAcentral. Lineage: Eukaryota; Viridiplantae; Streptophyta; Magnoliopsida; Brassicales; Brassicaceae.
GGAGCGUAUAUGAGAAAUCAAACAUCUGAUAAAACGUAUUACAAUGAAAGCUUAUCAAAUUUAUAAUUUUUUAUAACAGAAUCUUGUAAAAGCUUAUAAAGUCUUUUAAAUAUUUUGUUAAAAAAAAGCUUUUUUAUUAACAAAAUAUAAUAUCUUACACAGUGGUAACUCUCGAGAAGACGGAGAUAGCGAUCGAAAUAGAAAAAUAAUCGUCCCUCUGUUCCUAAUUAAUCUAAUUUCUACACUUUUCACACAUAUUAAAAGAACACAUCAAAAAUCCAUUAAAAAUGUUUUGGUU